GCGCCCGUACGCCAUCUGGUUGAGCGGCGAUCUUUAGGUGGUCGUGUAUGUCGGUUCGAAUCCGACCGGGCGCACCA
This 77-nucleotide transfer RNA is filed under the name Streptomyces sp. 136MFCol5.1. Its description in RNAcentral is "tRNA_Leu_TAG". It matches the Rfam family "tRNA". From Rfam's summary of the family: Transfer RNA (tRNA) molecules are approximately 80 nucleotides in length. RNAcentral also lists the same sequence under 27 other names. The record is from RNAcentral. Lineage: Bacteria; Bacillati; Actinomycetota; Actinomycetes; Kitasatosporales; Streptomycetaceae.